GACAGAGGGUGCAAACGUUGCUCGGAAUUACUGGGCGUAAAGCGCGUGUAGGCUGACCGGAAAGUCGGGCGUGAAAUCCCUGAGCUCAACUCAGGAACUGCACUCGAAACUCCCGGUCUAGAGUGGUGGAGAGGGAAGUGGAAUUCCUGGUGUAGAGGUGAAAUUCGUAGAUAUCAGGAGGAACACCAGUGGCGAAGGCGGCUUCCUGGACACCAACUGACGCUGAGACGCGAAAGCGUGGGGAGCGAACAGG
RNAcentral lists this ribosomal RNA (253 nucleotides) under uncultured bacterium. RNAcentral describes it as "partial 16S ribosomal RNA". It matches the Rfam family "Bacterial small subunit ribosomal RNA", at positions 524 to 776 of the family's 1533-position model. The record is from RNAcentral.